This 423-nucleotide unclassified non-coding RNA is filed under the name fungal sp. RNAcentral describes it as "partial internal transcribed spacer region". The stretch from base 1 to 46 matches the Rfam family "Eukaryotic small subunit ribosomal RNA", at positions 1786 to 1831 of the family's 1831-position model. Lineage: Eukaryota; Fungi. The record is from RNAcentral.
AAGUCGUAACAAGGUUUCCGUAGGUGAACCUGCGGAAGGAUCAUUAACACGUAUCCAACGUUAAACCCCCCGUGAACCUUCAGAGCGUUCUUGCCGCCCGUGACAAUCAGCAAUCCUGGUAAAUCAAGUGGGAAUAUCCGUUAUUGAUUCAGGACCUCUGCUGUCAUGUGUUAGGGAAACCAUAGCGGCAAUUGAGAGCUUUUAUCGUUAGUUUGGCGUCCUGGCCGGGCGAGUGAAAGUGUCGCUAGACGGUUUCUAGGGUAAGGCUUCGCCAUCGCUGGAGGCUCACCACGUAGCCGGCGGACAAACUACAGGGCUAUAUGCCCCCUAAUGACGACCAAGUUAAAUAGGGCCUUUGUCACAUAGCAAGUGCGCCGUGCCAGAGGAAAAGUACAACUGUUAACAAUGGAUAUCUUGGUUCUC